CAAUAGCGUAUAUUAAAGUUGUUGCAGUUAAAAAGCUCGUAGUUGGAUUUCUGCCAGGGUGCCAAUGUCCGCCGAAGUGCGUGCGCAGCGGCGCCCUCGCAUCCUUCUGUUAACGCCUCUCGGCAUUUACUUGCCGGUGGUGGGCUCAGAUAAUUUACCUUGAGAAAAUUAGAGUGUUUCAGGCAGGCUAGGCCGGAAUACAUUAGCAUGGAAUAAUGGAAUAGGACUACGGUCUCGUUGUUGGUUUGAGGGACUGGAGUAAUGAUUAAUAGGGAUAGUUGGGGGCAUUAGUAUUUAAUUGUCAGAGGUGAAAUUCUCAGAUUUGUUAAAGACUAACUUAUGCGAAAGCAUUUGCCAAGGAUGUUUUCAUUAA
Molecule: ribosomal RNA, 373 nt
Filed under: uncultured eukaryote
Lineage: Eukaryota
Description: partial 18S ribosomal RNA
Rfam family: Eukaryotic small subunit ribosomal RNA
Source: RNAcentral